GAUGAAGAACGUAGUGAAAUGCGAUAAGUAGUGUGAAUUGCAGAAUUCAGUGAAUCAUCGAAUCUUUGAACGCACAUUGCGCCCCUUGGUAUCCCGAGGGGCAUGCCUGUUCGAGCGUCAUUUCACCACUCAAGCCUGGCUUGGUGUUGGGCGACGUCCCCUUUGGGGACGCGCCUCGAAACGCUCGGCGGCGUGGCACCGGCUUUAAGCAUAGCAGAAUCUUUCGCUUUGGAAGUCGGGGCCCCGUCUGCCGGAAGACCUACUCGCAAGGUUGACCUCGGAUCAGGCAGGGAUACCCGCUGAACUUAAGCAUAUCAAUAAGCGGAGGA
Molecule: unclassified non-coding RNA, 329 nt
Filed under: soil metagenome
Description: partial contains 5.8S ribosomal RNA, internal transcribed spacer 2, and large subunit ribosomal RNA
Rfam family: 5.8S ribosomal RNA (bases 1-120)
Source: RNAcentral